RNAcentral lists this ribosomal RNA (277 nucleotides) under uncultured bacterium. RNAcentral's name for it is "partial 16S ribosomal RNA". It matches the Rfam family "Bacterial small subunit ribosomal RNA", at positions 76 to 353 of the family's 1533-position model. The record is from RNAcentral.
UCAAACUGGAGAUGGCGACCGGCGCACGGGUGAGUAACACGUAUCCAACCUGCCGAUAACUCGAGGAUAGCCUUUCGAAAGAAAGAUUAAUACCCGAUGGCAUAAUAGAACCGCAUGGUUUGAUUAUUAAAGAAUUUCGGUUAUCGAUGGGGAUGCGUUCCAUUAGGCAGUUGGUGGGGUAACGGCCCACCAAACCUUCGAUGGAUAGGGGUUCUGAGAGGAAGGUCCCCCACAUUGGAACUGAGACACGGUCCAAACUCCUACGGGAGGCAGCAUG